GAGUGGGUGGCUCAGUCGGUUGAGCAUCUGACUUCGGCUCAGGUCAUGAUCUCACAGUUCGUGAGUUCGAGCCCCACGUCACACU
Molecule: transfer RNA, 85 nt
Filed under: Felis catus (domestic cat)
Lineage: Eukaryota; Metazoa; Chordata; Mammalia; Carnivora; Felidae
Also listed under: 1 other name
Rfam family: tRNA
About the family: Transfer RNA (tRNA) molecules are approximately 80 nucleotides in length. Their secondary structure includes four short double-helical elements and three loops (D, anti-codon, and T loops).
Source: Rfam by way of RNAcentral